This 495-nucleotide ribosomal RNA is filed under the name uncultured bacterium. RNAcentral describes it as "partial 16S ribosomal RNA". It matches the Rfam family "Bacterial small subunit ribosomal RNA", at positions 28 to 507 of the family's 1533-position model. The record is from RNAcentral.
GACGAACGCUGGCGGCGUGCCUAAUACAUGCAGGUAGAACGCUGAAGGAGGAGCUUGCUCUUCUGGAUGAGUUGCGAACGGGUGAGUAACGCGUAGGUAACCUGCCUGGUAGCGGGGGAUAACUAUUGGAAACGAUAGCUAAUACCGCAUAACAGUAGAUGUUGCAUGACAUUUACUUAAAAGGUGCAAUUGCAUCACUACCAGAUGGACCUGCGUUGUAUUAGCUAGUUGGUGGGGUAACGGCUCACCAAGGCGACGAUACAUAGCCGACCUGAGAAGGGGAUCAGCCAAACUGGGACUGGGACACGGCCCCGACUCCUACGGGAGGGAGCAGUAGGGAAACUUCGGGAAAGGACGGAAGGCUGACCGCAGAACGCCGCGUGAGGGAAGAAGGGUUUCGGAUCGUAAAGCUCUGUUGUAAGAGAAGAACGAGUGUGAGAGUGGAAAGUUCACACUGUGACGGUAUCUUAACAGAAAGGGACGGCUAACUACGUG